Molecule: long non-coding RNA, 1348 nt
Organism: Bos taurus (domestic cattle)
Lineage: Eukaryota; Metazoa; Chordata; Mammalia; Artiodactyla; Bovidae
Source: Ensembl
UCUUAAUCACCGGACCACCAGGGAAGUCACUUGUCUUCUUUAGACAUAUCUUAGUUUUUCCUUUGAAAGGCUUUUUGCCGGCUUUAGUCAGCUGCUCUUUACUGACUUUUUUUAAGUUUUGUGUUCUUACAGGACCAAGGUUUAUAACACGCUACCCUCAAAGAGCUGACCAGCACUAAUGACAAAGAAAUGGCUGGAUAGCUAAACAAAUCCCACCUGCCCCACCCACACAACUGCAGGUUCUCUUCAAGUAUUCAGGGAGCCUCUGAGCACUUCAUCUCCUGAGAGCUUACAGGUGAGGAGAAGGACCUGAAUGCACAUCACAGCUAAUAAAAAGAAAGAAAAAGCUAAAGAGCCCAGUGUGGGGUCUACACAGCAAGGCUGCAGUGGUCCAAUGCGGGUCUCUGAGGUCCUGGAGGAGGAAGUGCAUUUGCCGAAUGGUUAAGAGCCCAGACUCUGAAGUCAGCACUACAGCUCUGUCACUUACAGUUCUCUACAGCCACUGAUCUGGACAAGAGCCAUCGUGCACCCCAUCUACAGCCAUACAAUUCAAUGUGUAGUUGCCUGAAUAUUUCAACAUCUUUCACUUCUUGGAGUCCUUGAAGAUGCCACUCUCUGCCUGGAAUGCUCUCCUCCCAUCAGUUUGACAAACAAACUUAAAGGCCUUUCUGUAGCUAUCUGUGAUGUCCCCAACAAAUUAAUAGUUGCUUUUAAUGCUACUUCUGUGCUUUGGACAUAUUCGCAUUAUAGUAAUAUCUGGUGGUACUGUAAUCAUCUAUUUGUCCAUCCAUUUCUUCAUUACUCUGACCAUUUUAAGGGCAGAGGUUCUGCCUUUUCACUUUGUCAGCUCAUUGCCAGGCACACCAAAAUGUCUCCACUUGGAUACCCCACAAAUAUCUCAGACAUGACUUUUUCGAAAGUACAAAAUUUGUUGAAUAUACUUCUUUUCAUCUUCUGUACUUUAAGUGUGAGGAUCUUCAUCGUCUUUGGUGGUGAAUAUUUAAUCAAUCCUAUGUCUUAAGUGAUGGAGAUUCACAGACUAUUGGUUCUCAUCUGUCAUUCACAACCUGUUCCCUUCUCAAGUGGCAGUUUUCUGUAGGGUGUAAUACAGACUUUUUUUCCUUUAAACUCCAAUGAAGUUUCCAUUGUUUCACAGAAAGAUCCUCAUUUGAAUUAAAGCACAGUGUUAAUAGGAACGCUUCCUGGAUGCACAGUUGGAUUUGAACAGGGCAGUGGUAUUUCAAGAGCGUCGCUUCCUUUUUAUCUGGCUUGCAUUUAAAAAGAUCAAGAAAGAUAAUUUCUUUUGCAGAAUCAUUUGCAAAAGUUAUGGUUGUGUACAAACAUACAC